UGUGAACUGACAAGCCCGUGGAUGUCUACAAAGAGUGAACUGAUCACUGUGGGCUGGCCUUUGAGGCAUCAGCAAGGCGUUGUGGCUCUGGAGACCUGGAAGCACCACUAACUGUUCUCCUGAUUUUCUGAUGCUCAGCCACAUCAACCUGUCAUGCUAGUUGUGAGGAGAAGUCAAGGACAGUGACACAGCCAGCCAGUCUGAGGGGUUUUCCAUCAUCCUGAAGGAGUUGCCCUAUCCUGCUUUUCACUGGAGGGGGCAUGGAUGGGGACCCUGGAUGACAAAGCAGUCACCUACUUGAACACUACUAAUUAUGAUGUCAGAAAGAGGAAAGUUUGCAGAGUUUUGUAUUGGCAAUCAAACAUUCAGCCACAGGUCACAGUCUAGAACCAGACACAUCAGUGUCCUGAACUGCAAAGUAGCCAGGAAGCAGCAUCCCAUAACACAGUCCUAUGUCCACUGCUUUGGAGGGGCUCUUGACACACUGACCUCUGUCAGUUCCUUCAGCACACCAGGCUAAUCCCCAGUCUUGUGCCUUUGGACCAGGGGUUUUCUUUGCUCAGAAUACUGUUUCAACAGAUCUUUGCAUAGCUGGCUCUUGCUAUUUGUCUAAAAUGGCAAUCCUCAGAGAGGUACUCCUUAAAUAUCCAAUCUUAAG
RNAcentral lists this non-coding RNA (658 nucleotides) under Pongo abelii (Sumatran orangutan). The record is from RNAcentral. Lineage: Eukaryota; Metazoa; Chordata; Mammalia; Primates; Hominidae.